Molecule: ribosomal RNA, 497 nt
Filed under: uncultured bacterium
Lineage: Bacteria
Description: partial 16S ribosomal RNA
Rfam family: Bacterial small subunit ribosomal RNA
Source: RNAcentral
GAUGAACGCUGGCGGCGUGCCUAAUACAUGCAAGUCGAGCGAACAGACGAGGAGCUUGCUCCUCUGACGUUAGCGGCGGACGGGUGAGUAACACGUGGAUAACCUACCUAUAAGACUGGGAUAACUUCGGGAAACCGGAGCUAAUACCGGAUAAUAUAUUGAACCGCAUGGUUCAAUAGUGAAAGACGGUUUUGCUGUCACUUAUAGAUGGAUCCGCGUCGCAUUAGCUAUUUGGUAAGGUAACGGCUUACCAAGGCAACGUUGCGUUGCCGACCUGAGAGGAGGAUAUGCCAAACCGGAGCUGACACAAGGUCAAGCCUCCUACGAGAGGAAGCAGUAGCGAAACUUAAGCAAUGGGCAGAAGCCUGACAGAGCAACGCCGCGUGAGUGAUGAAGGACGUCGGAUCGUAAAACUCUGUUAGUAGAGAAGAACAAAUGUGUAAGUAACUAUGCACGUCUUGACGGUACCUAAUCAGAAAGCCACGGCUAGCUACGUG